UCUGCUCCCCCACAUCCCGCCAGGACCAAGCACCAGUCACUACCCAGCAAAACCCGAGGAGCUCCCAUCUGUCGGCCAAGGGAAGAGGUCUACCUAGGACCACUGUGUAGACUCAGAGUGCAAGGAUGCCUGGUGGCGAGAAAGGGAAGAGGGGGAGACGCAGGGAUUGGGGAGACGGCGGGAGACAGUUACCGGAAACCCUCCACUUUCAAAGUCCUGAUUUCUGGAGCCUGGCUAAGAUCAACAGAUUCCCAACCUCGGUUUUGUUCAGACUGAGAGCCGCUCUAACCUCCUUCCAUCAGAGAACCAUCCAGAAACCUCUAUUCAAUAAGUGCUUUAGAGUAAAAGAACAUGUUUAUGAACGCACACUUUAAAAAAGGAAAUGAACCAAAACAUAGGAUUCUGGCUUACCUUGUAGACAUGGUCGCCAAGCUGUGAACGAACUAAGUGGUUGUCAGAUAUUCUUUUUUAAAUGAAUACAUAUUGCAAAAAAAAAAAUACCUCUUCAAAAUAAUCCAGGAAAAAUGUUUAUGAUAGCCUGCACUGUGGGUUCAUGGUGAACUUGUCCUGUCCCAAACUAAGUUUCUUACCUUCUUCUCCGGUAGCAGUCUUGUCCACGCUGAUUCAUGGCGGUUCUUCUCUUCGGAUUGUUCAUCCUGUUUUCCUCGUGUGCUCCAUCCAAUCAGGAACUCCUGCUAGCUCCAUUUUCACAACGUACCUACUCUUACUUCCUUGGUCUUAGCCCCAAGUGAUCACUGCUAACCUUUGACAUUGUCUCCCCGACUAGAAUCAACGGCGCAAAGCUGAUUGUCACUGUGUGUCUAUUGAUCUGUAGCGGAAUGGAUUGCAUGGAACCCCAGAAGGGCCUUUGACCCAAGAGGAUAAACAAGAAAGGAGUUAGAGGAUGUCGAGAGUCACUAUCCCCUAACUUGCUGCCACGGCCAAGGCCAACGUAAAACAAGACUCUGACCCAGGAGUGCCAACAGCCAGCGGAGGCCAGCAGGAGCCUGGGCAGGUGCGCUGGGCGGGUGCCUCGGGUCAACACAAUUUACU
Molecule: long non-coding RNA, 1053 nt
Organism: Eptesicus fuscus (big brown bat)
Lineage: Eukaryota; Metazoa; Chordata; Mammalia; Chiroptera; Vespertilionidae
Exons: 4
Source: RefSeq, a predicted model, not a curated record